UUGGAGGGCAAGUCUGGUGCCCGCAGCCGCGGUAAUUCCAGCUCCAAUAGCGUAUAUUAAAGUUGUUGCAGUUAAAAAGCUCGUAGUUGAAUUUCGAGACCGGCUUACUGGUCGUGCUAUUGUACGUACUGGUAUAAUCGGUUUCUCCUUUCUGACGAACUAUAAUGCCAUUAAUUUGGUGUUUUAGGGAAUCAGGACUGUUACUUUGAAAAAAUUAGAGUGUUUAAAGCAGGCUCACGCUUGAAUACAUUAGCAUGGAAUAAUGAAAUAGGACAUCCGAUUCUAUUUUGUCGGUUUCUAGGAUCGAUGUAAUGAUUAAUAGGGAUAGUUGGGGGCAUUAGUAUUCAAUUGUCAGAGGUGAAAUUCUUGGAUUUAUUGAAGACUAACUACUGCGAAAGCAUUUGCCAAGGAUGUUUUCAUUAAUCAAGAACGAAAGUUAGGGGAUCGAAGACGAUCAGAUACCGUCGUAGUCUUAACCAUAAACUAUGCCGGCUAGGGAUCGGAUGAUGUUAAUUUUUUAAUGACUCAUUCGGCGCCUUACGGGAAAC
RNAcentral lists this ribosomal RNA (548 nucleotides) under uncultured Glomus. RNAcentral's name for it is "SSU rRNA". It matches the Rfam family "Eukaryotic small subunit ribosomal RNA", at positions 548 to 1098 of the family's 1831-position model. Lineage: Eukaryota; Fungi; Glomeromycota; Glomeromycetes; Glomerales; Glomeraceae. The record is from RNAcentral.